AACGAACGCUGGCGGCAGGCUUAACACAUGCAAGUCGAACGGGUGUAGCAAUACAUCAGUGGCAGACGGGUGAGUAACACGUGGGAACCUUCCUAGGGGUACGGAACAACUCAGGGAAACUUGAGCUAAUACCGCAUACGUCCGUGAGGAGAAAGAUUUAUCGCCCUUAGACGGGCCCGCGUCGGAUUAGCUAGUUGGUGGGGUAACGGCCAACCAAGGCGACGAUCCGUAGCUGAUCUUAGAGGAUGAUCAGCCACACUGGGACUGAGACACGGCCCAGACUCCUACGGGAGGCAGCAGUGGGGAAUCUUGGACAAUGGGCGCAAGCCUGAUCCAGCCAUGCCGCGUGAGUGAGGAAGGUCUUCGGAUUGUAAAGCUCUUUUGCCAGGGACGAUAAUGACGGUACCUGGAGAAUAAGCCCCGGCAAACUUCGUGCCAGCCGCCGCCGUAA
This 451-nucleotide ribosomal RNA is filed under the name uncultured bacterium. Its description in RNAcentral is "partial 16S ribosomal RNA". It matches the Rfam family "Bacterial small subunit ribosomal RNA", at positions 29 to 523 of the family's 1533-position model. The record is from RNAcentral.